Molecule: long non-coding RNA, 162 nt
Organism: Capsicum annuum
Lineage: Eukaryota; Viridiplantae; Streptophyta; Magnoliopsida; Solanales; Solanaceae
Exons: 3
Source: RefSeq, a predicted model, not a curated record
CCCCAGACCUUGCUUGGUGGGAAUAUACUUGAAAUGGAUUACUCUUGCUUGUGGCAUCUGCUCUAACCUACCUGAUUUUAAGCAUUACUAAUGACACGUUGUGCUCUUAAAUGCGAAAAGACACUGCAAGCUUUAUUACGCCGACACCUAAAUGGUAAGUCC